This 379-nucleotide unclassified non-coding RNA is filed under the name uncultured Pseudomonadota bacterium. Its description in RNAcentral is "uncultured proteobacterium contains 16S-23S intergenic spacer region". Lineage: Bacteria; Pseudomonadati; Pseudomonadota. The record is from RNAcentral.
UCCGUUUUGUCAACGGCAGUCUCAAUAGAGUUCCCAGCAUAACCUGAUGGCAACUAUUGAUAAGGGUUGCGCUCGUUGCGGGACUUAACCCAACAUCUCACGACACGAGCUGACGACAGCCAUGCAGCACCUGUGUUGACGCUCCUUUCGGCACCCCAGGGCUUUCCCCCAGGUUCGUCACAUGUCAAGGGUAGGUAAGGUUCUUCGCGUUGCAUCGAAUUAAACCACAUGCUCCACCGCUUGUGCAGGCCCCCGUCAAUUUCUUUGAGUUUUAACCUUGCGGCCGUACUCCCCAGGCGGAUGACUUAACGCGUUAGCUGCGCCACCGAAACGCUAAGCGCCCCGACAGCUAGUCAUCAUCGUUUACGGCGUGGACUAC